Molecule: long non-coding RNA, 1607 nt
Organism: Peromyscus californicus insignis
Lineage: Eukaryota; Metazoa; Chordata; Mammalia; Rodentia; Cricetidae
Exons: 4
Source: RefSeq, a predicted model, not a curated record
AUGAAGAGACAGCCCACAGGAAUGACGGAGGCAGGAGAGCUUUGCUGGACCCUGGGGCUCUUUAAGGAGUUCAACCUGAUGAUGAUGCAGUUGUCUGGUAAAGAAAUCACAGCCUGGAGGACGCCUGCCCUAGGGAGACGUGCGCUCCCUUUUCCUGAGAUAAGCAAGGGGUGUCUUCUGCUCUUCCCUCACCUCUAAGGGAUGAUGAAUGCACCGAGGUCAAGCUCUUUGAUGGGAAAGUGGAAUACAGUAAGAAGGUGAAUGGAUUCAUGGGCACUCAUGAACAGGCUCUUUAUCAUUCUGAAUACCCAAAGGCCAGCAUAAUAACUGGCCCAUGGACAUUGAAUUCCCCCAUCACACAAAGUAGUGUACAUCUCCUAAAACAUACUUGAAAUUUAACAAAACAGAGAGUGGGUAUCAGUAAGUCCUGCCUAAGAACCAAAUGGAAAACAGCGCUUCCCUUUCCUUCAUCCCUGGGGUGCUGUCCGCGGCUCCUUCGGCAGCCCCGAGCAGAACUGGAAGGCAGGCUUAGCCUUAUGAGGACGUUCUCAUGAGACGCAGAAAUAAACAAGGUAAUUAGCACGAGGACAGCAUCUUUGUGCUAUCUUCAUGUUGAAUUUGCUUUUUAUCCCUCCUCUGAGGAUGCAGAUGGAGCCUUUGGGAGGCACAGCUGAUUGCGAUCAAAGAAGUACAGUGAAAACCUCACAGGACAGCAGUGAGAUCACAGGCUGUGUGCAUAAGCUCUGCCUGCACAUGCCAACCAACGAGGGAGCAGAAAUGCAGUCUCCAGUCUCUCCAUCUAUCAGGACUCACGGUGUGAAAGCACCACUCUUUCGGGAUUCUUUGUGAAAUAAGCACUCCUACACCACUGAGCAUAGAAGGGAGAUGCCACCAGUGGACCAAAGCCAGGUUAGCUCUUGAAAGACUUCCGUCCUGCAUUGCUCAUGAGAAACAAAAUGAGUUUGUAUUCUUGUUUCAUACUCUAAAACCACAAGGUGGGAUGGGCAAGCAAGAAAGACCUUGCAGAAGUAUAUGUGACAGGCAGCAGGUUGCUAAGGGUAACAACCCAUUGUUCAGCUCUUUCUCCAGCUCAUUCUGUUCCAGGCAGCAAGUGAAGUUAUGCUUGGCAAAUAGGCAGUACAAGCAGUGCUCUAGGUAAAUCAUAAAUCAAUAAAUAAGUAUUUAAUAACUGAACUUUUCUCCAUUACUUCACCACCUGUAAGGAAUCUGAAGUCAAUUAUGUAUUCACUGGGUUGGUUUUUGCCAGAGGACCCACAAGGUGCACAUGAUAAUAGCUGAUUCAUGCAAGAUGACUGGGAAGACCUUAGGCAGAAGCUCCACAGUGUGUGGCUAGUUCUGCUUAGGUCACAUGUCACACUCUAAAUCAACCAUUUUCACCAGAAGAGACUGUCCCGAUGGCUGGGACCUUGGCUCCUUCCUUAGGCUGAGGAUCCAGUCACCCUCAAGUGUGGGAGCCCACAGAGGUUUCCUAGUGAGAGCUGAGCUUGCUUUACCAGCAGGACUGCACAAGAGGAUGAUUGGACCACGGGCCUGGGUACCAGGUGUUUGGAAGGGUCUGCACUUGGUUGUAUCUAGCAAGGGGGAGG